Molecule: ribosomal RNA, 394 nt
Filed under: uncultured bacterium
Lineage: Bacteria
Description: bacterial SSU rRNA
Rfam family: Bacterial small subunit ribosomal RNA
Source: RNAcentral
AUUGAACGCUGGCGGCAUGCUUUACACAUGCAAGUCGAACGGUAACAGGCCUUCGGGUGCUGACGAGUGGCGAACGGGUGAGUAAUGCAUCGGAACGUGCCCAAUCGUGGGGGAUAACGUAGCGAAAGUUACGCUAAUACCGCAUAAGCCCUGAGGGGGAAAGUGGGGGACCGCAAGGCCUCGCGCUACUGGAGCGGCCGAUAUCAGAUUAGGUAGUUGGUGGGGUAAAGGCCUACCAAGCCGACGAUCUGUAGCUGGUCUGAGAGGACGACCAGCCACACUGGGACUGAGACACGGCCCAGACUCCUACGGGAGGCAGCAGUGGGGAAUUUUGGACAAUGGGCGCAAGCCUGAUCCAGCCAUGCCGCGUGCGGGACGAAGGCCUCGGUUGUAA